RNAcentral lists this ribosomal RNA (200 nucleotides) under uncultured bacterium. RNAcentral describes it as "partial 16S ribosomal RNA". It matches the Rfam family "Bacterial small subunit ribosomal RNA", at positions 524 to 716 of the family's 1533-position model. The record is from RNAcentral.
UACGAAGGGUGCAAACGUUGCUCGGAAUUAUUGGGCGUAAAGCGCACGUAGGCGGCUUAGCAAGUCGGAAGUGAAAGCCCUCGGCUCAACCAAGGAAGUGCUUUCGAAACUGCUGAGCUUGAGUACUUAAGAGGAUCGCGGAAUUCCCGGUGUGAGAGGUAGAAAUUCGUAGAUAGUCGGGGAAGGAACCACCAGGUGGC